CAAGAAGACCCUCACCAGAUGCAGCCCCUCUAUGUUGGACUUCCCAGCCUCCGGAAGUUAGAAAUGUGCUACAACCACUCAAGGUCUGCAAACAGAUUCCUAUUUAGAUGUUGUUGAGAGUUGAAUUUCUGGAACAAGAGAUAUAGAUUAAGACUGUUGUUACAUGUUGCCUACAUGACUUUCAAAAGCUUGAUUCCCAGUGGCAUUCUCAACAGCAGUCAUAAACAAUGGUAAUUCAAUGUAUAUUUAUAUUCAACUGAUAUAUUAAUUGGAAUAUAUUAAAAAUACGUAUAUUUAUAUUCAGAAUA
Homo sapiens (human) is the source of this 308-nucleotide long non-coding RNA. The record is from Ensembl. NCBI's taxonomy places the organism in Eukaryota, Metazoa, Chordata, Mammalia, Primates, Hominidae.